AGCAGCCGCCGCGGGAAUACGGAGGGUGCAAGCGUUAUCCGGAUUUAUUGGGUUUAAAGGGUCCGUAGGCGGAUCUGUAAGUCAGUGGUGAAAUCUCACAGCUUAACUGUGAAACUGCCAUUGAUACUGCAGGUCUUGAGUAAAUUUGAAGUGGCUGGAAUAAGUAGUGUAGCGGUGAAAUGCAUAGAUAUUACUUAGAACACCAAUUGCGAAGGCAGGUCACUAAGAUUUAACUGACGCUGAUGGACGAAAGCGUGGGGAGCGAACAGGAUUAGAUACCCCUGUAGUCCCUGUCUCUUAUAC
RNAcentral lists this ribosomal RNA (303 nucleotides) under uncultured bacterium. RNAcentral's name for it is "partial 16S ribosomal RNA". It matches the Rfam family "Bacterial small subunit ribosomal RNA", at positions 507 to 807 of the family's 1533-position model. The record is from RNAcentral.